Molecule: ribosomal RNA, 490 nt
Filed under: uncultured bacterium
Lineage: Bacteria
Description: partial 16S ribosomal RNA
Rfam family: Bacterial small subunit ribosomal RNA
Source: RNAcentral
GAUGAACGCUGGCUACAGGCUUAACACAUGCAAGUCGAGGGGAAACGACGGGGAAGCUUGCUUCCCCGGGCGUCGACCGGCGCACGGGUGAGUAACGCGUAUCCAACCUGCCUCUGACUGAGGGAUAACCCGUCGAAAGUCGGCCUAAUACCUCAUGGCAUCGUCUGCGGGCAUCCAACGACGAUUAAAGAUUUCAUCGGUCAGGGAUGGGGAUGCGUCUGAUUAGCUUGUUGGCGGGGUAACGGCCCACCAAGGCUACGAUCAGUAGGGGUUCUGAGAGGAAGGUCCCCCACAUUGGAACUGAGACACGGUCCAAACUCCUACGGGAGGCAGCAGUGAGGAAUAUUGGUCAAUGGGCGGGAGCCUGAACCAGCCAAGUAGCGUGCAGGAUGACGGCCCUAUGGGUUGUAAACUGCUUUUAUGCGGGGAUAAAGUGAGGGACGUGUCCUUCAUUGCAGGUACCGCAGGAAUAAGGACCGGCUAAUUCCGU